This 431-nucleotide ribosomal RNA is filed under the name uncultured bacterium. Its description in RNAcentral is "bacterial SSU rRNA". It matches the Rfam family "Bacterial small subunit ribosomal RNA", at positions 355 to 796 of the family's 1533-position model. The record is from RNAcentral.
UCGAGGAUCUUCGGCAAUGGGCGCAAGCCUGACCGAGCGACGCCGCGUGUGCGAUGAAGGCCUUCGGGUUGUAAAGCACUGUCGAGGGGGAGGAAGCCGCAAGGUUGACCUAUCCCUGGAGGAAGCACGGGCUAAGUUCGUGCCAGCAGCCGCGGUAAGACGAACCGUGCGAACGUUGUUCGGAUUCACUGGGCUUAAAGGGCGCGUAGGCGGGUUACCAAGUCAGGGGUGAAAUCUUUCGGCUUAACCGGAAAAUAGCCUUGGAUACUGGCAGUCUGGAGGGAGGUAGGGGCAUGUGGAACUUCCGGUGGAGCGGUGAAAUGCGUAGAUAUCGGAAGGAACGCCGGUGGCGAAAGCGACGUGCUGGACCUCUUCUGACGCUGAGGCGCGAAAGCCAGGGGAGCAAACGGGAUUAGAUACCCCCGUAGUCC